UUGGAUUCAACGCCGGAAAUCUCACCGGGGGCGACAGCAAUAUGAAGGUCAGGCUGAAGACCUUACCCGAUUAGCUGAGAGGUGGUGCAUGGCCGUCGUCAGUUCGUACUGUGAAGCAUCCUGUUAAGUCAGGCAACGAGCGAGACCCACGUCCACAGUUGCCAGCAUACCCUCCGGGGUGAUGGGUACACUGUGGAGACCGCCGCUGCUAAAGCGGAGGAAGGAGUGGGCAACGGUAGGUCAGUAUGCCCCGAAUCUCCCGGGCUACACGCGGGCUACAAUGGUUGGUACAAUGGGCAUCUACCCCGAAAGGGGAAGGAAAUCUCUUAAAGCCAAUCGUAGUUCGGAUUGAGGGCUGCAACUCGCCCUCAUGAAGCUGGAAUCCGUAGUAAUCGCGUUUCAACAGAACGCGGUGAAUACGUCCCUGCUCCUU
This 433-nucleotide ribosomal RNA is filed under the name uncultured Methanosaeta sp. RNAcentral's name for it is "bacterial SSU rRNA". It matches the Rfam family "Archaeal small subunit ribosomal RNA", at positions 906 to 1338 of the family's 1478-position model. The record is from RNAcentral. Lineage: Archaea; Methanobacteriati; Methanobacteriota; Methanomicrobia; Methanotrichales; Methanotrichaceae.